RNAcentral lists this ribosomal RNA (468 nucleotides) under uncultured bacterium. RNAcentral's name for it is "partial 16S ribosomal RNA". It matches the Rfam family "Bacterial small subunit ribosomal RNA", at positions 28 to 507 of the family's 1533-position model. The record is from RNAcentral.
GACGAACGCUGGCGGCGUGCUUAACACAUGCAAGUCGAACGGAAAGGCCCUGCUUUUGUGGGGUGCUCGAGUGGCGAACGGGUGAGUAACACGUGAGUAACCUGCCCUUGACUUUGGGAUAACUUCAGGAAACUGGGGCUAAUACCGGAUAGGAGCUCCUGCUGCAUGGUGGGGGUUGGAACGUUUCGUCGGUUGGGGAUGGACUCGCGGCUUAUCAGCUUGUUGGUGGGGUAGUGGCUUACCAAGGCUUUGAAGGGUAGCCGGCCUGAGAGGGUGACCGGCCACAUUGGGACUGAGAUACGGCCCAGACGCCUACGGGAGGCAGCAGUGGGGAAUAUUGCACAAUGGGCGGAAGCCUGAUGCAGCAACGCCGCGUGCGGGAUGACGGCCUUCGGGUUGUAAACCGCUUUCGCCUGUGACGAAGCGUGAGUGACGGUAAUGGGUAAAGAAGCACCGGCUAACUACGUG